GAUGAACGCUGGCGGCGUGCCUAAUACAUGCAAGUCGAGCGAACAGACGAGAAGCUUGCUUCUCUGACGUUAGCGGCGGACGGGUGAGUAACACGUGGAUAACCUAGCUCUAAGACUGGGAUAACUUCGGGAAAACGGAGCUAAUUCCGGAUAAUAUAUUGAACCGCAUGGUUCAAUAGUGAAAGACGGUCUUGCUGUCACUUAUAGAUGGCUCCGCGCCGCAUUAGCUAGUUGGUAAGGUAACGGCUUACCAAGGCAACGAUGCGUAGCCGACCUGAGAGGGUGAUCGGCCACACUGGAACUGAGACACGGUCCAGACUCCUACGGGAGGCAGCAGUAGGGAAUCUUCCGCAAUGGGCGAAAGCCUGACGGAGCAACGCCGCGUGAGUGAUGAAGGUCUUCGGAUCGUAAAACUCUGUUAUUAGGGAAGAACAGAUGUGUAAGUAACUAUGCACGUCUUGACGGUACCUAAUCAGAAAGCCACGGCUAACUACGUG
Molecule: ribosomal RNA, 497 nt
Filed under: uncultured bacterium
Lineage: Bacteria
Description: partial 16S ribosomal RNA
Rfam family: Bacterial small subunit ribosomal RNA
Source: RNAcentral